This 351-nucleotide ribosomal RNA is filed under the name Enterobacteriaceae bacterium HGH0113. Its description in RNAcentral is "bacterial SSU rRNA". It matches the Rfam family "Bacterial small subunit ribosomal RNA", at positions 97 to 451 of the family's 1533-position model. Lineage: Bacteria; Pseudomonadati; Pseudomonadota; Gammaproteobacteria; Enterobacterales; Enterobacteriaceae. The record is from RNAcentral.
GGCGGACGGGUGAGUAAUGUCUGGGAAACUGCCUGAUGGAGGGGGAUAACUACUGGAAACGGUAGCUAAUACCGCAUAAUGUCGCAAGACCAAAGUGGGGGACCUUCGGGCCUCAUGCCAUCAGAUGUGCCCAGAUGGGAUUAGCUAGUAGGUGGGGUAACGGCUCACCUAGGCGACGAUCCCUAGCUGGUCUGAGAGGAUGACCAGCCACACUGGAACUGAGACACGGUCCAGACUCCUACGGGAGGCAGCAGUGGGGAAUAUUGCACAAUGGGCGCAAGCCUGAUGCAGCCAUGCCGCGUGUGUGAAGAAGGCCUUCGGGUUGUAAAGCACUUUCAGCGGGGAGGAAGG